This 253-nucleotide ribosomal RNA is filed under the name uncultured bacterium. RNAcentral describes it as "partial 16S ribosomal RNA". It matches the Rfam family "Bacterial small subunit ribosomal RNA", at positions 524 to 776 of the family's 1533-position model. The record is from RNAcentral.
UCCGUAGGGGGCAAGCGUUGUCCGGAAUCAUUGGGCGUAAAGCGCGUGUAGGCGGCUCGGUAAGUCUGCUGUGAAAGUCCAGGGCUCAACCCUGGGAUGCCGGUGGAUACUGUCGAGCUCGAGUCCGGAAGAGGCGAGUGGAAUUCCUGGUGUAGCGGUGAAAUGCGCAGAUAUCAGGAGGAACACCAAUGGCGAAGGCAGCUCGCUGGGACGUGACUGACGCUGAGACGCGAAAGCGUGGGGAGCAAACAGG